AUGCGGAGGGGGAUGGCGGCCGCCGCGCCCUCCCGCCGCCGCGCCGUCCAGGGCUUCGCGGCCUUCUUCAUCCUCGCCUACGCGCUCUUCCAGGUGCUCCUCGCCUCGCCGCCCUCCCUGCCCCUGCCCGGCGCCGCGGGGGCGGGGGCGCGCCACCUGCACGUCGACGGCGACGACGCGGCGGCCGGGCGGGGCGCGCCGGCGCGCCCCUCCGUGCGCGCGCACCGGGAGGCCCUCGAGGCGGCGCCGUCGGGGAUCGUCUCCGGCCUCGACCUCGGCCGCCUCAACUCCUCCCGCGCCGGCGGCUCGCUGCGCAAGGUCGCCGCCGAGGCCGCCGCCGCCGGGGCCCGCGUCUUCGCCGACCUCUACGCCCUCGGGGGCGCGUCCCUGCCCGACCCGCUCGACGAGGAGGACAGGGCCAAGUGCCCGCACUCCAUCGUGCUCGCCGGCGACGAGUUCCGGGCCCGGGGGCGGACCGUGGAGCUCCCCUGCGGGCUCACGCUCGGCUCCUACAUCACCGUCGCCGCCACGCCGUACGCCGCGCACCCCGAGCAGGACCCCAAGAUCGCGCAGCUCAGGGAGGGGGAGGAGCCCCUCAUGGUCUCGCAGUUCAUGAUGGAGCUGCAGGGGCUUAAGACGGUCGACGGCGAGGACCCGCCCAGGAUCCUCCACUUCAACCCCCGCCUCCACGGCGACUGGAGCGGCAAGCCUGUCAUCGAGCAAAACACCUGCUACCGCAUGCAGUGGGGCACCUCCAUCCGAUGCGAGGGCUGGAUGUCCCGUGCCGACGAGGAGACUGUGGAUGGGAUGGUCAAGUGUGAGAAGUGGAUUCAGGAUGAAGAUCAGUCCAACGAGUCCAAGACGUCAUGGUGGUUGAAUCACCUCAUUGGCCGGACCAAGAAGGUUUCUAGUUCUUGGCCAUACCCAUUUGUGGAGGACCGCCUCUUUGUUCUUACUCUCACCGCUGGAUUGGAGGGAUAUCAUGUGAAUGUUGAUGGCCGGCAUGUGACGUCAUUCCCGUACCGCAUCGGGUUUGGGCUUGAGGAUGCUACUGGCCUAUCAUUGAAUGGGGACCUUGAUGUGCAAUCAGUGUUUGCGGGGACUUUGCCCACUACGCAUCCUAGCUUUGCACCGCAGAAACACCUUGAGAUGUUUCCAGCUUGGCAGGCCCCUCCCCUACCGGAAGAACCAGCCGAGAUAUUCAUCGGCAUCCUGUCAGCAGGCAACCAUUUUGCAGAGCGUAUGGCUGCUCGCAAGACGUGGAUGUCUGCUGCCCAGAAGACUUCGAAUGUCGUUGCUCGAUUUUUUGUUGCGCUGCAUGCCAGAAAGGAAGUGAAUCUAGAGUUGAAAAAGGAAGCAGAAUUUUUUGGGGACAUUGUCAUUGUGCCAUUCAUGGACAGCUAUGAUUUGGUUGUUCUGAAGACGGUUGCGAUAUGCGAAUAUGGGGUCCAUGCCGUCUCUGCGAAAUAUAUAAUGAAGUGUGAUGAUGAUACUUUUGUUAGACUUGAUGCAGUAAUGGCUGAAGUUAAGAAAAUACCGACCGGUAGAAGUCUUUAUAUAGGGAACAUGAAUUAUCGCCACAAUCCAUUGCGCAUUGGGAAAUGGGCUGUUACUUACGAGGAGUGGCCAGAAGAGGAUUAUCCAACAUAUGCAAAUGGUCCUGGAUAUGUUAUAUCUGCUGAUAUCGCAGAUUCCAUUGUUUCAGAAUUUACAGAUCAUAAAUUAAGGCUCUUCAAAAUGGAAGACGUGAGCAUGGGAAUGUGGGUGGGGCGUUUCAACCACACCAGACCCGUCGAAUACGUGCACAGCGUCAAGUUCUGUCAAUUCGGAUGCAUAGACGACUACUACACCGCGCAUUACCAAUCACCGAGGCAGAUGCUGUGUUUGUGGGACAAGCUGCAGGCUGGGAGACCACGGUGCUGCAACAUGAGAUAG
This 1935-nucleotide ribosomal RNA is filed under the name Triticum aestivum (bread wheat). Its description in RNAcentral is "partial small subunit ribosomal RNA". Lineage: Eukaryota; Viridiplantae; Streptophyta; Magnoliopsida; Poales; Poaceae. The record is from RNAcentral.